Misgurnus anguillicaudatus (oriental weatherfish) is the source of this 1339-nucleotide non-coding RNA. Lineage: Eukaryota; Metazoa; Chordata; Actinopteri; Cypriniformes; Cobitidae. The record is from RefSeq and is a predicted model, not a curated record.
AAAAAUGGCUGGGUUAUUUUUUAACCCAAAAUGCUGGGUUGAGUCUGUUGGGUUGUUUUGCUGGGUUAUUUUUUUACAUUUUAAACACUUUUUGGGUAGUUUCAGUUUUCUAGGUGUUGGGUUAAAACUGCUGGGUUAUUAUGUUGGGUUGUUUGAAGAGGCUCACGCGUGCUUCGCGCCCUUGAUGUUUGAAUGUGCUCAGCAAUGGUCGUCGUGAAAGGACAGAGUCACUGAAGCAGUUGUUUCAAGAGUGUGCAGAGUUUUUAUGUCCAUCCAUUGAUGAGGCUAGCAAGACCUUCAAACAACUUCAGCCAAUUGCAACAAAUGUGGUGGAAUUUCUUCACUGGACAGAAUCCUCGAAACCCUUUCCUUUCUUCCUGGCCAUGGGAAACAUGCAGCAGAUCUCUCAAUCUUUUUUCUCAAUCAGUCUCUCUGAAUACGGAAGUGACUUAAACUGCAAUUCGGCCAAGAUGGCGAUGGUACGCACCGCCUACUUUAAGCUUCAAAAAUGCUCUUCACAAACCAAUAGGUGACGUCACGGACACUACUUGCAUAUUUUUUACAGUCUCUGGUUUAAAGGCAUUUUAAGUGCUUAAAAAAAUAAAUACCCCAGGCAAUGUGCUUCUAUGGGAAUUCCUGUAGUCUGUCAUUUUUCAAAUGGAUGAAUCCCCUGCUGUUCGAUUCCUUUGUACAUCUUUGUUCGCGACGAGUAACUUUAAUAAAUGAAGUAUUUUUAGUCAAAUACAUUCCAUUCUGUGAAACUUAAAACAUUUGUUCUUUAAAAAAACUUUACACAUCUAUGAAUGAUUUUACUUUUAAUUUAACAAUUACAUUGUUUCUUUUUUACACUGCUGUAGUUUUGUUUAUGUACAUUUCAGUAUUUCAUAUAUAUACUGUAAAAUUACAAAUUCUGUCUUAAAUUCAAACGAAUUGAUUCAACCUGUUACAUUGUUACUUCAAUGUGCAUAAUUUAUGAUAUUUUAUAAAUAUAUUUAUACUUGGGUCAGUAAGCAGUCCUUUAAAUGAUUUUGCAACUUACAACUGUAAAAAUGUAAGAGUUUGUAGUUAUUUUGCAAUCAAAUAAACAUUUAUUUGCUGUUAACAAUGGUCUUGAUUUACAAUAAAGCACAUGAUAAAAAUAACCCAGCAAAAAUAACCCAAAACCCAGAAUAUUAAUCCCAUAAAUGGUUAAAAUGACUACAUGUUGGGUUUUCUCAACAACCCAACCUGCUGGGUUAAAAUGUGUUACCCAACGUGUUGGGUUACUUUAACCCAGCAUGUGUUCUGUCCAAUAUUUACCCAGCGCUGGGUUGCCAAUUGGGUUGUUUUUAACCCAACC